UUAACUCAGAUUUGUAUGGAGUGGAACAGUCUCCCUACGUUUGCCGCUAGUGGCUCUGUUCCAACUCCAUACAAAUCUGAGUUA
Non-coding RNA from Bombyx mori (domestic silkworm), 84 nucleotides. The record is from Rfam. NCBI's taxonomy places the organism in Eukaryota, Metazoa, Arthropoda, Insecta, Lepidoptera, Bombycidae.